GAAUGUCGCAUUGAUAUGAAGAACUUGAUUGGGGAGGCAAAUUGCAGGAUUUGUCAAGAGAGCUUCAGCACCACUGUUACAGCACUGACAGAGGCCAUUGACAUAUACAGUGAAUGGAUUGACGAGUGCGAACGUGUGAACAACCUUGAAGACGAUGAUGGUUCUUAGGUUCUAGUGAGUCUGCUUUAGUUGUGUAGUCAGUAGCCUGAAGAUGAUCUAAAGCCGACUUUAGCUUUGAUGUUAGUUCUGUUGAUAUUUCUCUGUUUCAUUACUAAAGUUGUACUUGAAGUUGCAAAAGCCUCUUGGGUUUGAUAAAUAAGCUCCAUGUGUGACAGGC
RNAcentral lists this unclassified non-coding RNA (337 nucleotides) under Hevea brasiliensis (rubber tree). Lineage: Eukaryota; Viridiplantae; Streptophyta; Magnoliopsida; Malpighiales; Euphorbiaceae. The record is from RNAcentral.